Molecule: ribosomal RNA, 521 nt
Filed under: uncultured marine bacterium
Lineage: Bacteria
Description: bacterial SSU rRNA
Rfam family: Bacterial small subunit ribosomal RNA
Source: RNAcentral
GUCAGGACGAACGCUGGCGGCGUGCCUAAUACAUGCAAGUCGAGCGGACAGAUGGGAGCUUGCUCCCUGAUGUUAGCGGCGGACGGGUGAGUAACACGUGGGUAACCUGCCUGUAAGACUGGGAUAACUCCGGGAAACCGGGGCUAAUACCGGAUGGUUGUUUGAACCGCAUGGUUCAAACAUAAAAGGUGGCUUCGGCUACCACUUACAGAUGGACCCGCGGCGCAUUAGCUAGUUGGUGAGGUAACGGCUCACCAAGGCAACGAUGCGUAGCCGACCUGAGAGGGUGAUCGGCCACACUGGGACUGAGACACGGCCCAGACUCCUACGGGAGGCAGCAGUAGGGAAUCUUCCGCAAUGGACGAAAGUCUGACGGAGCAACGCCGCGUGAGUGAUGAAGGUUUUCGGAUCGUAAAGCUCUGUUGUUAGGGAAGAACAAGUACCGUUCGAAUAGGGCGGUACCUUGACGGUACCUAACCAGAAAGCCACGGCUAACUACGUGCCAGCAGCCGCGGUAAUAC